GACGAACGCGGGCGGCGUGCCUAAUACAUGCAAGUAGAACGCUGAAGGAGGAGCUUGCUCUUCUGGAUGAGUUGCGAACGGGUGAGUAACGCGUAGGUAACCUGCCUGGUAGCGGGGGAUAACUAUUGGAAACGAUAGCUAAUACCGCAUAAUAGUAGUUGUUGCAUGACAACUGUUUGAAAGGUGCAAUUGCAUCACUACCAGAUGGACCUGCGUUGUAUUAGCUAGUUGGUGGGGUAACGGCUCACCAAGGCGACGAUACGUAGCCGACCUGAGAGGGUGAUCGGCCACACUGGGACUGAGACACGGCCCAGACUCCUACGGGAGGCAGCAGUAGGGAAUCUUCGGCAAUGGACGGAAGUCUGACCGAGCAACGCCGCGUGAGUGAAGA
This 391-nucleotide ribosomal RNA is filed under the name Streptococcus mitis. RNAcentral describes it as "bacterial SSU rRNA". It matches the Rfam family "Bacterial small subunit ribosomal RNA", at positions 28 to 411 of the family's 1533-position model. Lineage: Bacteria; Bacillati; Bacillota; Bacilli; Lactobacillales; Streptococcaceae. The record is from RNAcentral.